RNAcentral lists this long non-coding RNA (10632 nucleotides) under Lynx pardinus (Iberian lynx). The record is from RNAcentral. Lineage: Eukaryota; Metazoa; Chordata; Mammalia; Carnivora; Felidae.
UUUUUCAGCCCUGUGUUUUAGCGCUCUUUUAGGUCUCGGCCUGCUGACUGGGCUCCCAGCUGGUUCACUGGAGAGACCUUGACUGUACUUGCAAGUGGGCAAAUAGAGGUCAUCAGAGUCAUCUCCUGAACCACUUGAUUCACAGACGCUCACUUCAGGUUCAUUGGUGUUUUCUCCUCUGUUCGAAUCAUUGUUAAUUUUUUGUCGGAAAGGAGUGAGAUGAAUUCCCUCUUCCAAAUUAAAAUUGUAGGCAUCACUGGAAGUGACAGAUUCAUCCAACUUUUCUUUGGAGACAGUUUUUUUAUUUUCACUUUUGCUCGCUUUAUACUUUGAUACAGAUUUUGAUUUUUUCCUUCUGUUACCUUUUCUUUUCUCUUCUCCUUUUCUUCCUUGUGCACCUCUGCGCUUAUUUUUAGUUUGUUCAGGUUUAUACUCUAAGAUGUCUUCUUUUGUUUUAGUGGAUCUUUCUGGGUCAAUCAGCUUUGGUGAUAAGUUAAUUUGAUCAUUAUUCCAUUGACAAACAUUUUGUUCCACGUUUUCAGGUAAGUGCAUAUUUACUACUGGGUCUACACAUCUAAUUCUUUCCAAUUCAAAGGACUGCUCUGAGAAAUGACUGAUUUCAAAAUCAUCCAAGGUAUUGAACUGACAUAGAUUAUUAAAAUGUUUCUUUAAACUGCGACGGACAGAUACAGUUCUAGGUAAGACAUUAUCAGUAGAUUUAUCAUCAUCUGAAUUCAAAUCAAAUCCCAGUCUGUCUUGAGAAAUAGGUAUUUGCUCUGAGAAUUUAAAAGAUAAAUGAGAAAAAAAUAGUUUAACUUUAUGGAAAUUUUAAAUUCAGUAAUCUUAGAACUCAAAAUUAAAAAUGAAAUAAAUGAAAGGUCAGUUUGUAGUUCCGCAUUUGCUGUAAGCAAAUAAAAAUCUGGGGAACUUAGUACUACCAUCUAAUUUAUUUGGCAAUGAUCAAUCAAUGGGUUCUAUCUGACUUGUGAAAGAAUCUUACAUAACGUCCAAACAUGUUCUAACUGGGGGUUUUCUGUGUCCCUAGUUUAAAGGUUUAAAGAAAAAGUAGUUGGCUAUAUGUAUCUAUGUGUAUAGGAUUCAGUGGGAGAGAACCUCAUAUUCUAAAGUAAAGUAAGACCAGUACACUGAGAAAGUGGGAGCUAAGAUGUUCUUUGAAAUCCCAGUAAAACUGCAAUAAUUAUAAAGCCUUUCAGGUAAGAAAUAUAGUAAGCAUUUUUAGGGAAAGGUUCUGCUUAUUCAAAUGCCAUCCCUUCUUCAAAGCAUUGAGAACAGGGACACGCCAAUUUAGAAAUGGAAAGAAUGGCAUAGCUUUGGAGGUCGGCUUUCAGUUAAAUGCUUGCUCUUACCUUUUGGGCUACUUUUUGUGUGAUACUUUACUUCUUUGAGUAUAUAUAAAAUGGGACCAACUGUACCUAUAUUCUAAGGUUGUUGUGAGGGUUAAGUGAGAUAAUGUAAAAUGGCUAACACAGCUUGGCAAAUAGUAGGGCUCAGUAAACUGCAGCCAGUUAUAGCUGAUAGCUGAUAACAAAAUAAAUAUAUUUUUAAACUGUUAUAUUCUGUGUAAAAUAAACAGAUUUGCUUUGAGCAGAAGAAUGCCAGAUGAGCAUACUUAAAAAGUUAAAAAAAAAAAUUAGAGAAAUUUAAUUAUGUUACUUGUUCUCAAAGAUCUCAUCUUGCCCUUAGUAUUUUUACAUUUUCACUUGAAUUACCUUCUAUUUGGAAUGAUUCUCCUUGUCCUGGAAGGUGAGCUUCCUGAAGAGGAACUUGUCUAGCCAAAGAAAAACAGAAAUUUAUUUAAGAAUUAUGUAACAAAAAGAAAUUUAAGAUUUUCUUAAGUUUUUCUCUUAGUAUCAUUUCAUAAUUCUAUUCUAAAUCUGCUAAGUAUCAAAGAAAACAAAAAACCUUUCUGCUGAUUAUAUGGAGCCUCGUUUGUUAUAAGUGACAUUCAACUCCACUGGAGGAACUACCUUAUCUAUUUGGACACUUACUCCUGAUGACAUGCCAUAACUCAUAAUUCCAUUUACCUGGAGAAACAGCCAAUCAAAACUGACUUAUAUAUUACAGAAAUGCAAUUUGAUUACUCAACUCUUUAGCAGCCUAUUUCAUCAUUAGCUGACCUGUGAUUUUUUUUUUUUCUUUUUUGUAGCAUAGGUUUUUAUGGUGCCUAACUACUGACCCCUCUGAAGUUAAUACUAUUUAUUUUCUUUAAAAAUCUUGUCCCCCUUGUGGCUCAUGAAACAAUUUUCUUUAUGCUUUAAUACUAUUACUGGCUGUUUCAUUCUAAUUAUAAUUUUAGUCUUUAUUUCCUAUAGAGAAUUUUCCCUCUAGACAUCAAAUUUUAAAUACAGGUUUAGGUAAUAGAGUUAUGGUAACUAAUUAAUAACAAUUUCAGGAAUCUUAUAAAAAUUCAAUUACCCCAUUUUACUUUUUGACCAUUACAUAAAUAUUUUGUCAGGUGUUACAGUUCAACAGCUUUUAAACUAUUCAUGAUUAAAAAUAUGGGGGCAGAAACUGUCUUUGUGAUUACUUUUGUGAAGAGAAGGGCGUAGACUUGAAAGGGAUAUGAGGAGAUGGUUUAUAGCAGUUCUUAAUUGGGGAUAAUCAUAUCCCCUCAGCAGAUACAUGGCACUGUCUGGAGACAUUUUUGGUUGUCUUAACUGGGGGAAGGAAGUGGCAUUGGCAUUUAGUGGUAGAGGCCAAGGAUGCUGCUAGAUAUCCCAAAAUGCUUAGGACAGCCCUCCACAACAAAGAAUGAUCUGGCCUAAAAUGUCAAUAAUGCUGAAACUGAGAAAGCCCAGCUAGAGGGACAGCAGUGCUCUAUAUCAUAAUUGAGAUUUUGGUUCCACAGGUGUAUACAUUAGUCAAACUCAUUGAACUGUAUAAUUAAGAUCUGCACACUUCACUGUAUGUAAUUAUAUCUCAAUAAUUCAUAAACAAAGUGUACUUGAUCCAAGAGAAGGGGAGGAGGGUAUAUGGGGUCUGACUGUAUUUAGGAAUGAAUUGGAUUAGCAAGACAGGGUGAUAGCUGUGCUAAAUGUGAUGUUUUAUUAUAUUUCAUUUCUAAACCAAACUAUUUGUAGCACUGGCAAAAUACCGUCAUUUGAAUAAACAAUCCUUCUUAGAAUAAAAACAUGAUAUCACAAAAAUAUAACUGAAGGAAUUCAAUUAUAUUUAAAUAGCUAGCUUAAUCCUAACAUCAAAAAGGUAAAUAUAAGAAAGUUUUGGCUUAGCUACAUGUAACAGAAUAUCAACAUAUCAAAUUUUUUAAAAUGCAUUUUUAGUAGAGAAACAUCAGACUCCAAACACAAGAAUCAAUACGAUGCAAAUUUUCUUUCAUAAAUGUGUCAGAGAAUUAAAUCUUUUUUGACAUUAGUAAUCUUAAUAAUGAAUUUGAUACCAACGGUAAAUCCUUCACAAAUAAAUCCCCGGAGUUGUCACUACUGGUGGCCAUUCCAGAGGGACAUACUUCCUGGUUCUGUUAAUAUAUGAAAACAAAGAAAACACUGUUACAACUGAAAUAUUCAUAACAAAACAUUCAUUUAUUCAACAAUAAAAAUGUACCAACAGUCUACUAUGGUGCUAGGCCCUGUUCUAGGAACCAAGUCUCUAGCAGCUAAAAAUAUAUAUUUAAGUCCAACUCUCUUAAAGCUUACAUUCUAGUGUAGGGAGAGAAAAAUUUUAAAUGAAAGGAAAGAGAUACAUAAAUAAUUUCAGAUAGUGAUAAAGUGCUAUGAAGGAAAUACUCAGAGUUGAAGUGACAGAGAGUGACUGAGGUUGGAGGUUCCCUUAGACCUUCAUCUGAAAUCUAAAGAAUGCAAAGGAGCCAGCCACUGAAAAGAGGAGGGAAAGAAAAAGUGGUGGAAACAACAGAUACAAAAGUCAUGAUGUAGGAAAAGCUUUGCUGUGUUUAGAAAAGAAAGGCCACUGUGGCUGGACAUAUAUGAAUUCUCUCAUAGUGAGAACAGGAGGGGAUGUGUACUCAGAGACCAGGUAACACGGCGCCUUGGGAGUCAGGAGUUUGGAUUUUAGUCCAAGUGUGAUACGAAGUUACUUAAUCGUUAAGCAGGGAAGUGAAAUGAUUUAAGUUUUAAAAAGAUCAGUCUGACCACUAUGUGGAACAUGGACUGAAAGGGGCCAAGAGAAGAAGGAGUUAGGAAGUCAUUGUAGUAAAUCUAGCAAGACGUGUAUCAGCUAGGACUUGAGUCCUACAGCUACAGAGGUGAAGCCCAGCAGAAGCUGUUGAGAGAACAAAGAUGCUGAGAUUGAAUCGGCGUGGAAGUGGGGACAGUGAGGGAGAGGGAAGCCUCUUUGGUUUGGACUUGAGCAAAUGGUAGGUUGUUUUAUGAGAUGAAUAAGACAGACAGACAAAGGCAGAAGUACACAGUAUCUCUGGGAGAGGGAAAAUAGAGUUGUACUUUGUACAAAAUGUUUGAGAUCCUUGGGGUGCCUGGGUGACUCAGUCGGUUAAGCAUCCGACUUCACCUAAGGUCAUGAUCUUGCAGUUCAUGAGUUUGAGCCCCGCGUUGGGCUCUGUGCUGACAGCUCGGAGCCUGGAGCUUGUUUCAGGUUCUGUGUCUCCCACUCUCUCUGCCCCUUUCCUGCUCAUGUUCUGUCUCUCAAAAAUAAAUAAACGUUAAAAAAAAUGUUUAAGAUCCUUUAUAAAUAUUUCAGUGGAUAAAUCAAGUAGUAGUCGUGUGUGUGUGUGUGUGUGUGUGUGUGUGUGUUGAGCUAUAAAUUUGGAAGUCCCCAGCAGAGAGUAUUUAAAGCAUGGGAAGGGGGUAAGAUAAGAUGGAUCUAGGACAACUGACAUUUGAAACUAAAGAAGAAGUGAGCAAAUGAGACAGACAUGUAACAGAAAGGCAGGACAACUACAAGAGUAUGGUAGUAGGAAAGCUAGGAGAUUAUAAAGUAUGUUACUACAUAAAGGUCAAGAAGAAAGAGAGGUGGCCACUAAAUUUGGUAAUAUGGGAGUUGUGGGGACCUUGGCACAGUGACCAUAGAAUGAUGGGGAUAAAAGCCAGAUAAGAGGGAGUUCAAAUGGAAAUAGAAGCUGAGGAAGUGAAAACAGUAAGUGCACUGUUUGUCUCUGCUAAAGUUCUGCUGUGAAGGGAAGCAGAGAAAUGAGGAGGUAGAGGGAUAUGAAACCAGGAGAGGUUUCAUUUAUUUUCUUUUCCUCUUAAGGCAAAAGAUGCUAAAGCACAUCUGUAUGACAGCUAGAAUGAGUCAGUCAAGAGGCAGAUCCGUGUUGAAAGAGUGCAAACUUUCAGGACCAAAGUGCUUGAGGGCAAGAGAAAAGGGGAAUGUGAUGCACAGGGAAAGGCUUGGCCUUUGAUAGGAGCAGAGACACUUCUCCCACUGUGACAGGAGGGAAGACAGAGAACACACUGCAGAUACGGGCAGAUUUGUAGAUUUGUAUUAGAAAGGUAAGAGUUCUGGACGGAUUCCUUCGAAGUCACUCUAAUUCAGUUCAGUUGUUUCUUGAAAUUGGAUGCACAUACAAUAUGCUGAUGUUAUGAUAGAUUAAAACUGUUCAAGAGAAACAAAACAACUAGAAAUUUAAUCCUGUUAAAAGUUUUAAAUUUAUUUUCAAUAUAGCUCAUGUUCUAAAUUUAAGUAGUGGUAUUACUGAAGGUAAAUAAAGGAGAAUAUUUAACUACAGAAUAAUAUAAUUUAGUAACAAGUUACUAAAAAGAUCUAUUAUAAAAUUUAGGAAACAAAAGGCUAUUAGAAAUUACUUUGUGAUUAAUCCUUAUAAACCAAGUUAACUAUUGGUAGGCAAAAAAAACCCCAUUCUUCUUAUUAAAGCAUUUUAAGUUUCUCCAUUACUGAUUGACUUGAUAAACAUAUAAGCACAAGUAUAGAAUGAUGGUUGAGGAGUGACACAUAUAGCAAGUGUAUGGCAGAAAACAAACUCUGAUGUUUUAUUUUUUUUUUUAAUUUUUUUUUUUUCAACGUUUAUUUAUUUUUGGGACAGAGAGAGACAGAGCAUGAACGGGGGAGGGGCAGAAAGAGAGGGAGACACAGAAUCAGAAACAGGCUCCAGGCUCUGAGCCAUCAGCCCAGAGCCUGACGCGGGGCUCAAACUCACGGACCGCGAGAUCGUGACCUGGCUGAAGUCGGACGCUUAACCGACUGCGCCACCCAGGCGCCCCAAACUCUGAUGUUUUAAAUGCUAAGAACACUUUUGCCCAGCAACUAAUGUUUUUGUUUUUUUUAAGUUUAUUUAUUUUCAGAGUAAGACAAAGAAGGAGAGAGGGAGAGGGAGGGAAGGAGGGAGGCGGGGGAGGGAGAGAGAGAGAGAGAGAGAGAGAGAAAAUCCCAUGCUGGCUACCCACUGUCAGCGCAGAGCCCGACAUGGGGCUCGAUCCCACAAACUGUGAGAUCAUGACCUGAGCUGAAACCAAGAGUCAGAUGCUUGACUGACUGAGCCACUCAGGCGCCCCAGCUAAUAAUAUGUUUUAAUAAAUACUCAGAAAGCAUUGAUAAAUGUCCAAAGGCCUGCAAUAACAGAUUUUUUCCCCCAUUGUUUUUGUGAUUGUCUCAUUGGGUAUUCAUUUCUCACUAUUUUAUAUAUGAUUUCACCAAAAACUUUGGAAAGGGAAAAGGAACAUUCAAAUGUCUUUGGAGGGAUUUUUUUUUUUUUCUUACUAGUUGACUGAACAAGGAAAAGAAAAAAAUUAGGAAAGAUUAUAUUCUGAAGGGGAAAACCCCAAAAAAACAAAAAGUUUUAAAUAAUCUAACCCUCACAUAAAGGAAAAUUAUAUCAAAUCUUUUAUAGCCAAUUCUCUGCUAUACCAUAUAUGUAUAUAUUGCAUAUAUGUAUGUGUAUGUACAUUCUGUAUAUCAUACACAGAAAAAAUAUGGAAUCACUUUCAUCACUGACUCUUGCUGUCAGUGGAGAGGUGACUUUAAUUCCCUUCCCGAGUCUUUACCCUCCCCCUAAUCGCUAUGGUCUGGCUUUCUUCUCUGGUUUCCUAGCCUAAGUGCCAACACAACUGUCUUCACUGGCACAGCAAACAGAUGGCCGCCCAGGAAAAAAGUAAACUUGUUUCUGUCAACACCUGACAUGCACCACUGCUUUCUCUCUCUCUGCCCCAAGUAGUUUUCCUGGUAAGAGGAAAGGAGAACCUGGCUCAUCAUUUCUCUCUUCUUGGGAUCAAUGUGCAGUGGGACACAAAGAAUAUCAAGCUUUCUCCACAUCUGUUACAUUUUGGCUGACCCUUCCAUGUAACCUUGAAUACAACAGAAUAAGAGUAAAAUAUAAACAGCAAAAUGUUUAGGAUAGUUCUUGUUUGGGAAUUAAUGUAUACCUUUCCUUAUUUAACCAACUAGUGGGUAAAAAGGACUCUCCAAAAAACACUUAAAUGCCCCCUCUCCCAAAUUAAGGCAGUUCUUAUAAGACCUCACUAGGUAUAACACAACUACAUAGAAAAGCUAAGAUUUAUAGCACUGAUUAAAACUUUUGGACUGGGGCGCCUGGGUGGCGCAGUCGGUUAAGCGUCCGACUUCAGCCAGGUCACGAUCUCGCGGUCCGUGAGUUCGAGCCCCGCGUCAGGCUCUGGGCUGAUGGCUCAGAGCCUGGAGCCUGUUUCCAAUUCUGUGUCUCCCUCUCUCUCUGCCCCUCCCCCGUUCAUGCUCUGUCUCUCUCUGUCCCAAAAAUAAAUAAACGUUGAAAAAAAAAAUUAAAAAAAAAAAAAAAAAAAAAANNNNNNNNNNNNNNNNNNNNNNNNNNAAAACUUUUGGACUAGUCCGCUUCAACUAUCACUUUUAGACCUUUAGCUGAGUUGCCCUAUAUUUGACUCACUUAGCUGAACGGUUGAAAGGACCAGCAGUGCAAAAGGCUAAACUAUUUCUUCUGUACCUUGUCUUGCUACCUGCUUUCAGAACCAAGUUAUACAAGCACAAGCCUCAAUCAUGUAUGUUUUGAUCAAUUCACUAAUAACAGAGCUACCGGUCAGUAAUGAAUUUAUAUAACAUAAUUGAUCUAAACUACCAAUUCACUGAUUUCACAUUUUUUCCUAAGAAAUUCAACGUUUGUGAUGAAAAUACCUGAGUAGUUUCUCCGGUUUGUUGUGAAGCCAGUUUUUCUUUCAAUGCAUGUAGCUGACAUGUGAGGUAGUAACAUUCUUUUCUCAGUUGUAAGAUGAUAUCUUGGGCUUCUCUCACUUUGGAUUUUUCAUUUUCCAAAGCUAAAGCUAACAUUCUGUUGUUGUCUUGGUAGUUUUUCAACAGUGUAGAAGUGUUGGCUGAAAGAGGAUAAAUUUUUUUUUUAUUAUGUAUUAAAUAUAAACUUAAAAAGCGACGCAAAAGGACAACAUGAAAAUCUCUUACUGAUUAUUUGGCAUGGCGCAGCUAUAAAAGACUUUCGUUUGCCGAUCUCUGCCAAAUUUUUACUCCUUUUCUCUUUCAUUCGUUUCUUUAUGUCUUCAAGACUAUCUUGAAAGGACUUUUUAAGGCACCUUUCCUUGGCCAUCUUCUGCCUAGGAAUUUAAAACAGUAAAAAGUAUUUAAUUUUUCUAAGAGAUAGUAUCAAAUAUAAAACAAGAUUGAAAACACAGGUUGUUCAUAAAGAAUGGAUUAAAUAGACUUAGUAACUGUAGAAUCAGCUUAAAGAAGCUGGCUAACCUGGUAAUAACUUAGAUUUUGCAGCUUUUAAACCUCAUUAACAUUUUGGCAUAAUGUUAUCCUCCUCAGGUACUUUACAGGGAAAAUUAAUAAAUAUGCAUUUCAACCCAAAGACUCUGUAAUAUGCCACUUAUUUAUUCCUUAACAAAUACCCACUGGGGGCUUGCUAUAUACCAGGCAUUAUGGGAAAUACUUAAUGUUAUAUUUUGAUGUUAUUAUUAUUUAUGUUUCCUACAGACAAUGUUUAUGACCCGCAUUUAGUGUUUACUAGACUUACAGCAUUAGUUCAGAGGUAAUCUUGUAUGUGGGCUUUGUUUUCCAGUUCUUCUCUACAUUAUUAAUUUAUCACAUUAGGUCACUGGAUAGAAUUAAUCAAGAAACAGUUAUUCUUCCACACUCUUUUAACCCAAUGCUUAAGAUUUGCACACACUCCCAAGACACUGGAGGUAAUCCUCAGAGGUUGAAACUAUGUAGCACUAUAUACAAUCUUAAUAGGUUAUUAUAACAAUUAUAGAACUAGAAAGAGCAGGAACUGAGGCAGAGCAACAUGCCAGUUUUCUCAAAGUUAUUUUUAAAACUCAGGUCUGUUAGCUCUUAGUAAAUCAUGAGAAUAGCAAACAAGACAUUAAAUAACAGUUGUUCUACAUACAGUUGAAAGUAGUAAAACAAGCAGUGACAGUGAAAUAUGCUACUGAAUAUAUUAACACAUAAAUAUAUUUAAAUCCUUCAAUGCUGCAAAUCAGAUUUGCUUAAAUAUUCUGCUACUAAGCGUAUCGAACUACUUUUCAUGAGCAUCUUUUACCCCAGAUUGCACUUUGCAGAUUACAAAAUUGCAAGAAAUAAUUCCUGUUUCCUACAACCAUACUUACAAUUUUCACUACAAAAGAUACCUUCAUCUGCUCUAAGCUAGUCAAAUAAUUUUGCUGAACCUUACGUUUUCUUGAGUAUUUUCUCCAGCCCAUAUUUAUUUUCCUCUAUGCACUGUCUGGGGGUGUUCAAUGUAGAACUCAUUUGUUAUUUUCUCUUUGACAAUGUAGAUACAACACAUACUGGGAUGUUUCCAGUAGAGCUAACACAACUCUUUUUUUUAAAGCACUAAUGUUAAGUGGGUUGUAUGAAAACAGCGUAUCACAAUGGGAGUUUUUAAAGUUCGAACAGGAGAUGUUUGAAAAGUCACCCAGAUUAAGCAACUGAUCAAGUUAGUUUAACAACGUACCUAAAAUAUUUUCGUUAUUACCUUUCAUUAACUUAAAAUCACAAAAGAAAACUGCCAUAUAAGAAGUUUCCUAUCUAGGCCAAAGUAGAGGGGGUGUGGUGGAGAGAACGAAUGGAAACAGGUCACAGGGCGGGAAGGGUCAGUGUCUAGAGCAUUCGGGUAAGGGGUCUGGAUUCAGAAGAACCUGGAAUAUCUAUCCGAUCUCCGUCAUAAUGCUUCCAUCAUUCCUGCAGCCAGGUACGACACUGACCAGUGCUAGCUUCUCCAGGCAAACCGAAGAAGCAACACAGGACGUCAAGGGCAUAGGGCUGCACACAGAACAGCUGCCAGUUUGUGUGCCCUCACGUCAAGCCGGGCUUUAACUACUAAUGCUUUUACAGAUCACGGAAUCUACAAAAUUCUGCAAGGCAGGAGGUUCGUGUCCCCAUUUACUUAACAAGAGGAAAAUGGAGCCUCAGGAAGGGCAAGUCGAGUGGACGAACAGAGAAGGUGUCGGGGUCAGACCGACUCCACAGCCCGAGCUUUUGGCCACCGAACUUAGAACGACAGAGAGACCCCUGAGGGCAGACGAACAGGGACCACGACACCCCAGUUCCACACCUGGAAAGCCCGCGGCUUUCUCUUUCACGGAGGGGCUCGGGGAAAGUCGGGGGCGGGGGGGUGUUGCCGGAAGAGGGCCGGGAGAUCUUCCUCCCACAGGUACGUCCAAAACAGUACCUUGGCCACCACUUCUGCCGCAGCUGUCGCCCUCCUUCUUACAUUCCAAGGUU